GGGGGUGUAGCAUAGUGGUGGUGCAUCCGGCUGAUAACCGGAAGGUCCCAGGUCCGAUCCCUGGCACCCCCA
This 72-nucleotide transfer RNA is filed under the name archaeon GW2011_AR10. RNAcentral describes it as "tRNA-Ile". It matches the Rfam family "tRNA". From Rfam's summary of the family: Transfer RNA (tRNA) molecules are approximately 80 nucleotides in length. Their secondary structure includes four short double-helical elements and three loops (D, anti-codon, and T loops). RNAcentral also lists the same sequence under 1 other name. The record is from RNAcentral.